CUACGGGCCGCUGCAGUGAGGAAUAUUGGUCAAUGGGCGAGAGCCUGAACCAGCCAUGCCGCGUGAAGGAUGACUGCCCUAUGGGUUGUAAACUUCUUUUCUAUAGGGAUAAAAAGCGGAACGUGUUCUGCCUUGCAGGUACUAUAGGAAUAAGCACCGGCUAACUCCGUGCCAGCAGCCGCGGUAAUACGGAGGGUGCGGGCGUUAUCCGGAUUUAUUGGGUUUAAAGGGUGCGUAGGCGGUCUUAUAAGUCAGUGGUGAAAUUCUGUGACUCAACCAUAGAAGUGCCAUUGAAACUGUAGGACUUGAAUUUAUUUGAGGUAUGCGGAAUGUGUAAUGUAGCGGUGAAAUGCUUAGAUAUUACACAGAACACCGAUUGCGAAGGCAGCAUACUAAGAUAACAUUGACGCUGACGCACGAAAGCGUGGGUAGCGAACAGGAUUAGAUACCCCGGUAGUC
RNAcentral lists this ribosomal RNA (459 nucleotides) under uncultured bacterium. RNAcentral describes it as "partial 16S ribosomal RNA". It matches the Rfam family "Bacterial small subunit ribosomal RNA", at positions 339 to 795 of the family's 1533-position model. The record is from RNAcentral.